AUAGAAAAAAAACACCAUAUUAGACCAAAAAAAAAAGGGUUUUUUAAAGCACAAAUUGUAUGCAAAAUUUGAUUCACUUUUAAAAUACUGAUAGCUCCAAACACAUGAGAUGCUCUUUGAAAAUGCCACAGAUAAUCAAUAAAGGCAGUGGUCAUCAACUGUUCAUCUCAAAUUCCUUGCCUUCUCCAGGGAAUGACUUCCUGAAUCUUAGUCUUAUCACAUUCUAAAUUUCCCCAUCUCCCUUUAAAAAAACUCAUUAUAAAACAACCCUCUUACCCCCUCAUCUACACCAUCCAGAAGGGAAAGCAAACUGUGUGAAAGCAUUAAAAAAAAAGCAACAUAAAUUCCGCACCACUGCCCAUAAUUACUGUACCACACCUUCCAAACAAGUACAGCUUAACCACAAUGCAGUCAUUUCCUUUUCCCAUGUGCAUGGCAAAGCAGUACUGCAUGCACAAAAGAUGGAAGGGCGAUGCUAAGAACAGAAGGAUGUUGCUCAAAAAGCAAAAAUUGCCAUACAAAACAGCAAGAUGGACUUUGCAUGUUAUUUUUUAAAGGCCUGCAAGAAGAUCCAUACUACAGGAAGAUUACAUUUGAUAGUAAAUAGCAAAGAAGCAUCUCUAUGUUUCCCGUGCUGUAAGCAUCAGCUUAUCUUCAAAUGCAGGAAAAGUGGGAACAGGAAGAGAAAGGACAGCCAUUUCACUUUUGGCAUUCUUUUACAGGAGCUGUCGUAUCCACCUCAAACACUGAGUUGCUGGACCUACUUUAUUUUAACAUCCUCCACAAGGCUUGAAAGUAAAUUACCUCCUCAACAAUGUCUGCCUGGGACUCUUCAUUGCCACAGCUGCUGCUAGACUCAGAGUUUGAAAUACUGUCAGCUUCUUCAUCUUCUUCAUCCUCCAGAAUCUUCAGACCCUCUGAUUCAAUAAUGUCAAUGAAUUCAUUCUUUUCUA
Coturnix japonica (Japanese quail) is the source of this 953-nucleotide non-coding RNA. Lineage: Eukaryota; Metazoa; Chordata; Aves; Galliformes; Phasianidae. The record is from RefSeq and is a predicted model, not a curated record.